RNAcentral lists this long non-coding RNA (1321 nucleotides) under Dermacentor andersoni. Its description in RNAcentral is "uncharacterized LOC126536139". Lineage: Eukaryota; Metazoa; Arthropoda; Arachnida; Ixodida; Ixodidae. The record is from RNAcentral.
UGUACUCGAAACAGUGCAUGAUAUCUGGAAUGUUUUAGUUUCGAAAUAAUUAGCAGCAAGCAUUCCACUACAUUUAAUCAGUACAACCACUUAAUAAAUCUUAUGUUGAAAGACCUACACUUGUACUUUCUAAACAUAGAGGGGUAGUAUUGUUAUGUCUUGCUUUAACAUUCCUGUUACAGUUCCCGUUUUUUGGCUUGUAACCUUGUUUUCCUUUCAUUUGUUUUUAAAUUUCAUCUCAUUCUAAACUGUUUUUCUUAAUUGAAUGUAUGGCUAGACAGUGUGAAGUCGUGUACGUAGCAGUCAGUGUAUUUGCUGUUUGUAUCUAGGAAGUUAUGUAUAAUCAUGUUUGUCAUCUUGCCAUCUGCCUUGUAAAGGGUGUUUUGGCCCAGUGAAGCUGAUUUUAGCUAGUAAACCCUCUCAGAAGGUUUCUUAAAGCUAAGCUUUCUUUGCCUCUCCUUUGGACUUUCCCACCACUGCUGCUGUCUUGCCAAAUAGAUCUUGCUGAAUGCCUCAUACUGAUAUUAAUGUAGUUGUUGAACCAUUGUCAUUCCAGCUAACUACUGGCUACUGUCUUGCACGAGUGACUUGUAUGGGACAUAAUGCAAAUACCAGAUAUAAUAAUGUAACUAGAUCAUGGUUUUGGCAUGUAAAAUUCCAUUAGUUAUGCAAAUUUUGCUAAGCAGGAACAGCGUUCUCCACAAACAUAGUGAAAGCUUAGCUUAAACCAGUAAACACAGCGCUUGGAAUCUGCCGAAUAACCGCAAGUAGAUAAUUAGGUAAGGACACUGCUGAGCAGACACAAAAACAAGCAUUAUGAAUUACACAGCUGAUAAUGUCGUCAGUACUAUGGUGCAUUUAUUCCUACAGCAUGAAGGCACUGAAUGAAUCCUUGAGCAAGCUAGAUAAAAUUUGAGGGUCUGUGAUGGAGCACAGAUUUGCACACUGCUGGCAAGCAACAAAAUACAAAAUUAAAGCUGUUCAUUGCAGUGCCCAAGACACACCUGUCUCGCACAACAUUCAAUACUCGGCUAAAUACUGCCCUUUGACUUGCACAUUGCCUUCUAGGAUCAGUGCAUAGAAUCAAAGGAAACUGCUUGCAUCUUUUGUGUUUUGUUUUUGUGUGUGCAUCAUGCAAGUCCUUUUGCUUUUAUUCAUUCUACUAGUUCGUAUGUGCUAUCCUCUUCUGUCUUGUGCUUUAUUAUGUUAGGUUUUUAUGUGCUAUUUUGCUUAUUGUUUUGUACCUGUAUUUCUGCUUUCUCUGCUCCCUGCUGCAAUGCCAAACUGGCUUUGUGGGUACCUAAAUAAAUAUACAAAGCUA